Non-coding RNA from Peromyscus maniculatus bairdii (prairie deer mouse), 528 nucleotides. Lineage: Eukaryota; Metazoa; Chordata; Mammalia; Rodentia; Cricetidae. The record is from RefSeq and is a predicted model, not a curated record.
CAAAGCUGGAACAGCUACCCACUACAAACAUACGGUCAGCUGUGUAACAUGCAUGACUCCAGCAGAGGUCCAUCUGGUUUUCAUUACCAUGUUCCCCUCUCUCUUUGUGGGACUUCAGUUUUGCUGACAACUUUCAGCAGGAUGUAGCAAGCAAAUUUUGAAUACCUACUGUGUGCUGAGCCUUGGACUCCAGAAGAGGCUGCUGUGCAGAGGAAGAGAUUGCCCAUGAUCCUGCAGCUGGGAUUAGUAGUUUAAUCACAGCCUCUAUUGACUGGAAGAUCAAGAAACCACCGUGCUGACUCCUCAGACCAUACCUUAAUUUUGCAGUUCCCAAACUUCAGACGCAAAGAUGCCCAGAUGGAGAAAGGCUUCAGCAAUGGAGUAAACUUUCCCAUGAAUUCUACUUGCUUAGAGCAGAGCCUGCUGGGAGCCCCAACAGUGUGAGAGGAAGAGUUGGAAGCCUUCAGUGAGCAUAAUCAAAUUGGCUUCUCCUUUCUUUUCGUGGGCUGCAUGCUCCUACUGAUGAAA